This 587-nucleotide ribosomal RNA is filed under the name uncultured bacterium. RNAcentral describes it as "bacterial SSU rRNA". It matches the Rfam family "Bacterial small subunit ribosomal RNA", at positions 338 to 916 of the family's 1533-position model. The record is from RNAcentral.
CCUACGGGAGGCAGCAGUAGGGAAUCUUCCGCAAUGGACGAAAGUCUGACGGAGCAACGCCGCGUGAACGAUGAAGGCCUUCGGGUCGUAAAGUUCUGUUGUUAGGGAAGAACAAGUGCUAGUUAAAUAAGCUGGCACCUUGACGGUACCUAACCAGAAAGCCACGGCUAACUACGUGCCAGCAGCCGCGGUAAUACGUAGGUGGCAAGCGUUGUCCGGAAUUAUUGGGCGUAAAGCGCGCGCAGGCGGUUUCUUAAGUCUGAUGUGAAAGCCCCCGGCUCAACCGGGGAGGGUCAUUGGAAACUGGGAAACUUGAGUGCAGAAGAGGAAAGUGGAAUUCCAAGUGUAGCGGUGAAAUGCGUAGAGAUUUGGAGGAACACCAGUGGCGAAGGCGACUUUCUGGUCUGUAACUGACGCUGAGGCGCGAAAGCGUGGGGAGCAAACAGGAUUAGAUACCCUGGUAGUCCACGCUGUAAACGAUGAGUGCUAAGUGUUAGAGGGUUUCCGCCCUUUAGUGCUGAAGUUAACGCAUUAAGCACUCCGCCUGGGGAGUACGGUCGCAAGACUGAAACUCAAAGGAUUGACGG